GGAGCCAUAGAGAGGGAUGCCAAUCCAACCUUAGGCAAAGAAACCUGCCAUGGGAGUCUUGGAUAUUGGCAACUGUCAUAAUGACUUA
RNAcentral lists this microRNA precursor (88 nucleotides) under Equus caballus (horse). Its description in RNAcentral is "mir-9014 microRNA precursor family". It matches the Rfam family "mir-9014 microRNA precursor family". Lineage: Eukaryota; Metazoa; Chordata; Mammalia; Perissodactyla; Equidae. The record is from Rfam by way of RNAcentral.